RNAcentral lists this non-coding RNA (45 nucleotides) under Schistosoma mansoni. The record is from RNAcentral. Lineage: Eukaryota; Metazoa; Platyhelminthes; Trematoda; Strigeidida; Schistosomatidae.
AUCCAGCUGAUGAGUCCCGAAUAGGACGAAACGCGCAUCCUGGAA